GAGACAGCAGCAGCCGCGGUAAUACAGAGGGUGCGAGCGUUAAUCGGAUUUACUGGGCGUAAAGCGUGCGUAGGCGGCUUCUUAAGUCGGAUGUGAAAUCCCUGAGCUUAACUUAGGAAUUGCAUUCGAUACUGGGAAGCUAGAGUAUGGGAGAGGAUGGUAGAAUUCCAGGUGUAGCGGUGAAAUGCGUAGAGAUCUGGAGGAAUACCGAUGGCGAAGGCAGCCAUCUGGCCUAAUACUGACGCUGAGGUACGAAAGCAUGGGGAGCAAACAGGAUUAGAUACCCGUGUAGUCCCUGUCUCUUAUAC
This 308-nucleotide ribosomal RNA is filed under the name uncultured bacterium. RNAcentral's name for it is "partial 16S ribosomal RNA". It matches the Rfam family "Bacterial small subunit ribosomal RNA", at positions 505 to 807 of the family's 1533-position model. The record is from RNAcentral.